GAUGAACGCUGGCGGCGUGCCUAAUACAUGCAAGUCGAGCGAACAGACGAGGAGCUUGCUCCUCUGACGUUAGCGGCGAACGGGGGAGUAACACGUGGAUAACCUACCUAUAAGACUGGGAUAACUUCGGGAAACCGGAGCUAAUACCGGAUAAUAUAUUGAACCGCAUGGUUCAAUAGUGAAAGACGGUUUUGCUGUCACUUAUAGAUGGAUCCGCGCCGCAUUAGCUAGUUGGUAAGGUAACGGCUUACCAAGGCAACGAUGCGUAGCCGACCUGAGAGGGUGAUCGGCCACACUGGAACUGAGACACGGUCCAGACUCCUACGGGAGGCAGCAGUAGGGAAUCUUCCGCAAUGGGCGAAAGCCUGACGGAGCAACGCCGCGUGAGUGAUGAAGGUCUUCGGAUCGUAAAACUCUGUUAUUAGGGAAGAACAAAUGUGUAAGUAACUAUGCACGUCUUGACGGUACCUAAUCAGAAAGCCACGGCUAACUACGUG
Molecule: ribosomal RNA, 497 nt
Filed under: uncultured bacterium
Lineage: Bacteria
Description: partial 16S ribosomal RNA
Rfam family: Bacterial small subunit ribosomal RNA
Source: RNAcentral